RNAcentral lists this ribosomal RNA (484 nucleotides) under uncultured bacterium. RNAcentral's name for it is "partial 16S ribosomal RNA". It matches the Rfam family "Bacterial small subunit ribosomal RNA", at positions 30 to 507 of the family's 1533-position model. The record is from RNAcentral.
AUUGAACGCUGGCGGAAUGCUUUACACAUGCAAGUCGAGCGGCAGCACGGGGGCAACCCUGGUGGCGAGCGGCGAACGGGUGAGUAACACAUCGGAACAUGCCCAGUCGUGGGGGAUAACACUUCGAAAGAAGUGCUAAUACCGCAUACGUCCUGAGGGAGAAAGCGGGGGAUCGCAAGACCUCGCGCGAUUGGAGUGGCCGAUGUCAGAUUAGCUAGUUGGUGGGGUAAAGGCCUACCAAGGCAACGAUCUGUAGCUGGUCUGAGAGGAUGAUCAGCCACACUGGGACUGAGACACGGCCCAGACUCCUACGGGAGGCAGCAGUGGGGAAUUUUGGACAAAGGGGGCAACCCUGAUCCAGCCAUUCCGCGUGAGUGAAGAAGGCCUUCGGGUUGUAAAGCUCUUUCGGCAGGAACGAAACGGUGAGCUCUAACAUAGCUUGCUAAUGACGGUACCUGAAGAAGAAGCACCGGCUAACUACGUG